Molecule: ribosomal RNA, 253 nt
Filed under: uncultured bacterium
Lineage: Bacteria
Description: partial 16S ribosomal RNA
Rfam family: Bacterial small subunit ribosomal RNA
Source: RNAcentral
UACGUAGGGCGCAAGCGUUGUCCGGAAUUAUUGGGCGUAAAGAGCUCGUAGGCGGUUUGUCGCGUCUGCUGUGAAAACUCGAGGCUCAACCUCGGGCUUGCAGUGGGUACGGGCAGACUAGAGUGCGGCAGGGGAGACUGGAAUUCCUGGUGUAGCGGUGGAAUGCGCAGAUAUCAGGAGGAACACCGGUGGCGAAGGCGGGUCUCUGGGCAGUAACUGACGCUGAGGAGCGAAAGCGUGGGGAGCGAACAGG